RNAcentral lists this non-coding RNA (28 nucleotides) under Rattus norvegicus (Norway rat). Lineage: Eukaryota; Metazoa; Chordata; Mammalia; Rodentia; Muridae. The record is from RNAcentral.
UGCGGUGCUGGGAUGUAUCAUCUCGUUA